This 440-nucleotide ribosomal RNA is filed under the name uncultured bacterium. RNAcentral's name for it is "partial 16S ribosomal RNA". It matches the Rfam family "Bacterial small subunit ribosomal RNA", at positions 338 to 795 of the family's 1533-position model. The record is from RNAcentral.
CCUACGGGUGGCAGCAGUAGGGAAUAUUGCUCAAUGGGGGAAACCCUGAUGCAGCAACGCCGCGUGGAGGAUGAAGGUUUUCGGAUUGUACACUCCUGUUGUUAGAGAAGAUAAUGACGGUAUCUAACGAAUAAGCACCGGCUAACUACGUGCCAGCAGCCGCGGUAAUACGGAGGGUGCAAGCGUUACUCGGAUUCACUGGGCGUAAAGAGCGCGUAGGCGGGAUAGCAAGUCAGAUGUGAAAUCCUAUGGCUUAACCAUAGAACUGCAUUUGAAACUGUGAUUCUGGAGUGUGGGAGGGGUAGGUGGAAUUCUUGGUGUAGGGGUAAAAUGCGUAGAGAUCAAGAGGAACACUCAUGGCGAAGGCGACCUGCUAGAACAUAACUGACGCUGAUGCGCGAAAGCGUGGGGAGCAAACAGGAUUAGAUACCCUUGUAGUC